Long non-coding RNA from Tripterygium wilfordii, 1478 nucleotides. RefSeq lists it as uncharacterized. The transcript has 3 exons. Lineage: Eukaryota; Viridiplantae; Streptophyta; Magnoliopsida; Celastrales; Celastraceae. The record is from RefSeq and is a predicted model, not a curated record.
GCGACAUGAUGCGCACCGAACCCGCCUGAGUCGCUUUGCUUUUCGCUCUUCAUUUUCGACUUGACACUCAAAGCCCACCACAAAACCCUAAUUGGUAAUUGCUGUAGAUCUAAUCCCGCGCCAAUUCUACAUCCAAAUUCAUGUCGUCGACCAUUGCCAGGUCCAUCCUGCGGUUCAGCGCAUCCAGGACCUCAGCGGCGGUAGUGAGGUUCGCCCGUCUUCUCUCCCUUACACAGUUUCAGGCUCGCUAAUUGAAUUUUCUAGAUCACGGCCUCGGAGGAGAUCAUCAGUCUUAGAAAGUCGAUUAACAAGUCUAUCUACCCAUGGUGACUCCAGGCUCCAGCAUCUCCAACAAAGUCUCCAAACGCGCCUCCGAGGAGAUAUGGUGUUUUCAGAAAGUCGAUCUGCGGCGCCUCAAGUCUACAAGAUCACCGCCUCUGAGGAGAUCUGGUGUUUUUAAGGGAAACGAUCUGCAGAAACUCUUAACAAAGUUCUCCUAACGCGCCUCCCGUCCACAAGUUCGCCGCCUCGGAUAGCGCUCAGCUCACCUUGUGUAGUCAAUCUCGGUCUAAGACUCAUCGGCCAGUCACACAUUCAUAUCCCCAAGGACGUCAAAGUGUCAUCUCCACUAAUGAUUCGAGAUUUCACAUGUACAGUUUCUUGGAAGAGGCUCAAGCCAAUAGCUAUUACAUCUCGUGGAUACAGGUGAAAAUGCCCUUUGUCAACUAAAGGGACUCUGGAACUCCACCGCAUCUAAUUACAAUUUUCCGUUUCGGGAGUUACUGCAAGGAAGGCAGGCUUAAUUGGUAAGUUCCUCCUUGGACUGGAUGUUUUUCAUGCAGGAGGUGAUGUAGGCAAGUGCUAGCUGGGAAAAAUGGCCUUAUAGUUGAGGAUUUAACAACUACCUAAACAGUUGAAACAAAAAAGGACUGGAAAACAGAGAUUUUAUAACAAAAAAGUAAUAACCUAAAAAGACAGGUAUGAAGUGUGGGUUAAAUCCUUGGGCGCUUGCAACAGGGUUAUUUUUAGGUGUUUUAAGAAUAUAUCAAAUCUGAAGGCCACCUUAGCCACAGGUUAGUUUAUCUGAGGUACGAUCUUUAAUGGUCAAUGAUCAUUCUAAUGGUGCUGUGAAAUGGUUGCCGAAAUAGCCAAUUGGAAUUAGACCAGACUUAUAAAUUGACCUUUAGUUGCCAUCUAGAAUAUUUUUCUCUCUUUGAGUAAUCUCUGUCAGCAAAUCUAGUGCCGUAGUGCCAUCAUGGUGGGCCUCCCUGGUAAUUGAAGUUGGGCUGUACUUGAACGUAGAACUUGGGCCGAAAUUAUUGAUUCAUUUCAUUGGGCCACGCCCAUCAAAUUUGUGCUUUAAACUUUUUCAUCGGGCUAAUGUCCACUAAUAAUAGGGCUAGGGCCCACCUUAUCAUAUUUGUAAAAAUUUGAAGCGACUUAGACGAACGAUUAAGAAUGAGACGUUUGGUAAAAAA